Molecule: ribosomal RNA, 137 nt
Filed under: uncultured phototrophic eukaryote
Lineage: Eukaryota
Description: partial 16S ribosomal RNA
Rfam family: Bacterial small subunit ribosomal RNA
Source: RNAcentral
UGGGGAAUUUUCCGCAAUGGGCGAAAGCCUGACGGAGCAAUGCCGCGUGGAGGUAAAAGGCCCACGGGUCAUAAACUUCUUUUCCCGGAGAAGAAGCAAUGACGGUAUCUGGGGAAUAAGCAUCGGCUAACUCUGUG